Molecule: long non-coding RNA, 1786 nt
Organism: Helianthus annuus (common sunflower)
Lineage: Eukaryota; Viridiplantae; Streptophyta; Magnoliopsida; Asterales; Asteraceae
Exons: 7
Source: RefSeq, a predicted model, not a curated record
GAUGAUUUUUUUAUCUUAAUUUAUAUGUUUGGCUCAUGAUUGAAGUUAAUUGUUGUUCAAAUGGAAUUUUAGGUCACGUUUAUUCGUAAGCCGGAUUUGAUGAAGAUUUCAUGUUAUGUGGUUCUGUGCUGAAUUCUGAAUUGGAUAAUCCAGGCUUUAAUUUAAGAUUCUUCAAGUUUUUUGAAGAACGGUCUAAUUUACUCGACACCUUGAGACAACCAGAGCAUUUGUUGUUUCUGGGAACGCUUCAUCCGAAGGAAGGCCUUGUAAACUAUUCAACAAAGAUUAUCCGAGGCUAUUAUCGAAUUGUUAAGUUGAAUGGACAUGAAGAGCUCGAAGCGUUUGAUGAACCCAGGCAAAUCUUGAAGAGUUUUUUUGGUAGAUUUUGAGGAUCUUUCUGAUAGUGAUAACGCGAAUUUGGACGAAGACAUUGGGCAGCAGAGCACAUGGAAGAGGAUGUUAAUGGAGACCUAUUAGAACAUUGGUAGGGAUAUGUAUAAAACAAUGCUAAUAAGAGAUUAUGUGUAGGCUUAUGCCUUGAAAAAAGACUCAUUUGGGGAAGCCGAGUAGGGAGUUCAAGAAAGUCUAUAAGUCACCACUCCUCAAAUAUGGAACAUAAGUUGCAAUCGUAUGCUCCAAUAAUCUUAUCCAACCCUUGAACAAGCUGGAGUUUUGAAUUUCAUGUGGAAGCAGAGUCACACAAUUAAAUGGUUGAAAGGCCUACGAGCCCUGUGCCGCCUUUGAUGAUCGCAAGAACUGGUGCAAGAGACGCAUCUACCUUUUUGUCCAUGUGUCGUGUUUAUGCAGGGCUUCAGUAUCAAGCCGAUGUGUGUGAUGGUUUAUUGUUGUCUACGGGUGGGUUGGGUACUGGGUCCAAAUGGGUUUGGGUCUUAACAGGUCGGUUUGUGAACAACUGGAGGAAUGGUGGGAACAAUUAGCGUUAACGGCUGUUAAUGGGUAAUGGUGGACAGUCAAAAUGUGUUCGCCUAGAAUAACCAUGUGAAGAAUCUCUAUACCUUUUAUGACAAGGAAUUUUGUGACCAGACACUCAUAAUCCAUUUUUUAAAAUUAUACCACUUUGUUCUCCAUUGAGUGAUGCAGAUCCUACAUCAAGCUUUACGAUUCUCCACCAAAAUCAUCAACCAAAGAAGACGAUGAGCUAGCAAAAUUUCAUGCUUCUCGGUAGAAGAAAUUGAGGUUGCUGCAGAGAGGCCAGAUCCUAUGAUAUUUCUUCUGAUGGUAGUUUUUUAAUUCUUUGCACUUACCUGGGUAGUUAAAAAAAGUAUAAAACAGAAUGGUUUCAUCUUUAAAUCAAACUUAUACAACAUGAAUGCUAUGUUUUAGAAGUUCGUUCAGGCUAUUAGAUUUGUGGUAAGCUAUUACUAAAUAUUAUUCUAAUGGUACAAUCCACAGAGGCAGGAUAGUGGUGGAGAAGAUGAAAGGAAAGAAGGCAGAGGUGGUGACGAGAGAGUACACCAUUAAUCUUGACAAACGGCUGCAUGGAUGGUAUAUUGUUUAUAGUGGUUGAUUAAGAUUUUCGAGUUUUGUAGUGGAUUUUUGAUAUUCUGAUGGCUUGAUUCACUAAAGUGAUGAAAAUCCUUCAAGUUUCAGUUAGUUUUCUUUUCAUUUGGUUUAGUUUUCUUUUCAUUUGGUUUCUUUAACCUUUGCUGUAAGCAAAGUGUAAUUGGAAUCAUUUGGUUGUAUCAGUUGCAAAGUAUAGUCUUUUAGAUCCUACAUUAAUAUGUAAUGGAUGCUUCAAUUUUGUUUGAAAAUAUUUAAUAGUGCA